GACGAACGCUGGCGGCGUGCUUAACACAUGCAAGUCGAACGGACAGGCCCUGCUUUUGUGGGUUGCUCGAGUGGCGAACGGGUGAGUAACACGUGAGUAACCUGCCCUUGACUUUCGGAUAACUUCUCGAAACUGGGGCUCAUACCGGAUAUGAUCUCCUGCUGCAUGGUGGGGGUUGGAAAGUUUCGGCGGUUGGGGCUGGACUCGCGGCUUAUCAGCCUAUUUGUGGGGUAGUGGCUUACCAAGGUUUUGACGGGUAGCCGGCCUGAGAGGGGUGCCGGCAACAUUAGGACUGAGAUACGGACCAGACGGGUACGGGAGGCAGCAGGGGGGAACAUGGCAGAAUAGGCGGAAGCCAGAGGCAGCAACGCUGCGUGCGGGAUAACGGCCUUCGGGUUGUAAACCGCUGUCGCAGGUGAUGAAGCGUGAGUGACGGUAAUGGGUAAAGAAGCACCGGCUAACUACGUG
RNAcentral lists this ribosomal RNA (468 nucleotides) under uncultured bacterium. RNAcentral's name for it is "partial 16S ribosomal RNA". It matches the Rfam family "Bacterial small subunit ribosomal RNA", at positions 28 to 507 of the family's 1533-position model. The record is from RNAcentral.